Molecule: ribosomal RNA, 510 nt
Filed under: uncultured bacterium
Lineage: Bacteria
Description: partial 16S ribosomal RNA
Rfam family: Bacterial small subunit ribosomal RNA
Source: RNAcentral
UGGGGAAUUUUGGACAAUGGGCGAAAGCCUGAUCCAGCAAUGCCGCGUGUGUGAAGAAGGCCUUCGGGUUGUAAAGCACUUUUGUCCGGAAAGAAAUCCUUGGCUCUAAUACAGUCGGGGGAUGACGGUACCGGAAGAAUAAGCACCGGCUAACUACGUGCCAGCAGCCGCGGUAAUACGUAGGGUGCAAGCGUUAAUCGGAAUUACUGGGCGUAAAGCGUGCGCAGGCGGUUGCUAAGACCGAUGUGAAAUCCCCGGGCUCAACCUGGGAACUGCAUGGUGACUGGCAGGCUAGAGUAUGGCAGAGGGGGUAGAAUUCCACGUGUAGCAGUGAAAUGCGUAGAGAUGUGGAGGAAUACCGAUGGCGAAGGCAGCCCCCUGGGCCAAUACUGACGCUCAUGCACGAAAGCGUGGGGAGCAAACAGGAUUAGAUACCCCUGGUAGUCCACGCCCUAAACGAUGUCAACUAGUUGUUGGGGAUUCAUUUCCUUAGUAACGUAGCUAACGCGU